Molecule: ribosomal RNA, 639 nt
Filed under: Vibrio antiquarius
Lineage: Bacteria; Pseudomonadati; Pseudomonadota; Gammaproteobacteria; Vibrionales; Vibrionaceae
Description: bacterial SSU rRNA
Rfam family: Bacterial small subunit ribosomal RNA
Source: RNAcentral
UGAACCUUCGGGGAACGAUAACGGCGUCGAGCGGCGGACGGGUGAGUAAUGCCUAGGAAAUUGCCCUGAUGUGGGGGAUAACCAUUGGAAACGAUGGCUAAUACCGCAUGAUGCCUACGGGCCAAAGAGGGGGACCUUCGGGCCUCUCGCGUCAGGAUAUGCCUAGGUGGGAUUAGCUAGUUGGUGAGGUAAGGGCUCACCAAGGCGACGAUCCCUAGCUGGUCUGAGAGGAUGAUCAGCCACACUGGAACUGAGACACGGUCCAGACUCCUACGGGAGGCAGCAGUGGGGAAUAUUGCACAAUGGGCGCAAGCCUGAUGCAGCCAUGCCGCGUGUAUGAAGAAGGCCUUCGGGUUGUAAAGUACUUUCAGUCGUGAGGAAGGCGGCGUCGUUAAUAGCGGCGUUGUUUGACGUUAGCGACAGAAGAAGCACCGGCUAACUCCGUGCCAGCAGCCGCGGUAAUACGGAGGGUGCGAGCGUUAAUCGGAAUUACUGGGCGUAAAGCGCAUGCAGGUGGUUUGUUAAGUCAGAUGUGAAAGCCCGGGGCUCAACCUCGGAAUAGCAUUUGAAACUGGCAGACUAGAGUACUGUAGAGGGGGGUAGAAUUUCAGGUGUAGCGGUGAAAUGCGUAGAGAUCUG